GAUAAUGUUGCUUUAGCAACGGCCCGAAGGGCGAGGCGAAGCCGAGUCAUCCUGCACGACCCACCA
RNAcentral lists this small RNA (66 nucleotides) under Salmonella enterica. RNAcentral's name for it is "partial RtT sRNA". It matches the Rfam family "RtT RNA", at positions 60 to 130 of the family's 130-position model. Rfam says of the family: This family represents a bacterial cis-regulatory element known as RtT RNA. The exact function of RtT is unknown although it is thought that it may be involved in changing the cellular response in relation to amino acid starvation. Lineage: Bacteria; Pseudomonadati; Pseudomonadota; Gammaproteobacteria; Enterobacterales; Enterobacteriaceae. The record is from RNAcentral.